RNAcentral lists this ribosomal RNA (253 nucleotides) under uncultured bacterium. RNAcentral's name for it is "partial 16S ribosomal RNA". It matches the Rfam family "Bacterial small subunit ribosomal RNA", at positions 524 to 776 of the family's 1533-position model. The record is from RNAcentral.
UACGGAGGAUCCGAGCGUUAUCCGGAUUUACUGGGUGUAAAGGGCGUGUAGGCGGGACUGCAAGUCAGAUGUGAAAUUCCAGGGCUCAACCCUGGAACUGCAUUUGAAACUGUAGUUCUUGAGUGAUGGAGAGGCAGGCGGAAUUCCGUGUGUAGCGGUGAAAUGCGUAGAUAUCGCGCAGAACUCCGAUUGCGAAGGCAGCAUGCCGGCUCCACACUGACGCUGAGGCACGAAAGCGUGGGUAUCGAACAGG